RNAcentral lists this long non-coding RNA (1494 nucleotides) under Homo sapiens (human). Its description in RNAcentral is "HSALNT0357860". Lineage: Eukaryota; Metazoa; Chordata; Mammalia; Primates; Hominidae. The record is from RNAcentral.
GUUCUAUAAAGGAAACUUCCCUAGAAAGAAACCACUUCUAAAUGGAAUAAUUAAAAUAAUUUGUUAGAAACUUUAAGUUACCCUAUGAGCUCCUAGUAACACUGUUUUCAAGCUCAUAGGUUAAUUGUUAAGCCCUUUUGCUCCGAGUUGAACUGAUCAAAUGGCUCUGUGUAAAAGGUAACAGUGUAGAAUCCUCUUUGAGAAAUAGCAUGUAAACUUGGGAGAAAUGGCCUAAGCCCACGGUUCUCAAGUCACUGAGACAGUUGAAAAAGCCCCCUCAGGUGGUGAGAAUGGGAUAAUAUUUUAUUAUAUCUCUAAGAUGCCUCAAAUCCAAAGAGAUAAUUAAAUUUGGAAUUUUAUUAGUUUCACCUAAUAGUUGUAUAAAAGCUGAAUAUUUAAGGAUCUCCUUUAUCAGGCACUGAGAUGCUUUGUAUACAUUACUUCAUUUAGUUUUCACAAUAGUCCUAAGAGGUGGAGGUAUUUUUGACCCUGUUUUAUAGUUGAAGAACAGGCUCAGUAAGGUUAUAUUACCUGCUCCAAAUUUCACAGCUAGUUAAUUUAGUUUAUGUUGGAAGUUAGCAUUUAAGACCUUUUAAUUCAGGGUGUGCAUUUUCCUCUUGCGUGUCACAAGUGCUAUUCAGGCUUUCUCUAGUUGAAUCCCCUGUUUGUGAGUGCAUACCUGCAGUAUUUUAUAUGCUAAGUGAAAUAUUUUUAAAUUUACGUUAGCACCUAGAUUAGCGUUGAACCUGUUUUAAGAAUGGCAGAGUCUUGCUCUGUUGCCCAGGCUGGAGUGCAGCAUCAUGAUCUCGACUCACUGCAACCUCAAGCAGUCUUCCCACCUCAGCCUGCUGAGUAGCUGAGACUACAGGCAGACAGAAUUCUUAUACAGAAAUUGUAGAAAUACAGAAUUUCUAUACAGAAAAUGUAGUACUUCAUCAUUUUCCUUAGAAUGCUCACAUUUUUGUGGUUUUAUUACCUGUGCUAUUCAUAGUGACAUCACUAGGGGACUUUUGAGGAUUAACCACUUCUUCACCUAGAUUUUUAUCGGCACAUUCUAUGAUAUAUCACUUAGCAAAUCCAGAGAGGUUAAACAGUUUAAGCCAUGAUAGGGACAGAACUGGAAAAAUGCUAAUUCUUGCUCUUUUACUUGUGCACGUUGCCACUGGGCCUACUGCAGAAAUGCUACUAGUAAAGGGAGUAUAUCAUCAGUUCAGUCUGGGAGCAGAAACUGCAUAGUAGUUUAAACAAGGAAAGUUUAAUAUUAAGACUUAUUAGGGCCAGGUGAGGUAGUUCAUACCUGUAAUCCCAGCACUGCUUUGGGAGGCCAAGGCAGGAAGAUUACUUGAGGCCAGGAGCGCAGGACCUGCCUGGGCAACAUAGCAAGACACUGUCUCUAUAAAAACAAACAAACAAACAAAAAAAUUACCUAGGUGUGGUGAUGCAUGCCUGUAGCCCUAGCUGCCUGGGAGGCUGAGGUGGGAGUGUCUCUUAAGC